Molecule: unclassified non-coding RNA, 237 nt
Filed under: Hevea brasiliensis (rubber tree)
Lineage: Eukaryota; Viridiplantae; Streptophyta; Magnoliopsida; Malpighiales; Euphorbiaceae
Source: RNAcentral
CAGGCAUGAUGGUUGCUUCUAUCUAAGAAUUAUUGAUAACAAAUCAGUGUUCUGUUAUCAUUUAAUGUUGGAAAUGUCUUGUUCAUAAUCCAACCAACAUAAUAAUUUUUACGAACGUGCAAAGUAUUGAAAGGUUGACUGUGGCAAGCAACCAGGAUUCAGUGAGCUUAAAUUAAUAAGCCUACCUCCUCAUCUAUUCUCUUCCACGUUUUAGACAUGUCAAUCACUGAUUUGGAG